This 130-nucleotide small RNA is filed under the name Serratia liquefaciens. RNAcentral's name for it is "RtT sRNA". It matches the Rfam family "RtT RNA". From Rfam's summary of the family: This family represents a bacterial cis-regulatory element known as RtT RNA. Lineage: Bacteria; Pseudomonadati; Pseudomonadota; Gammaproteobacteria; Enterobacterales; Yersiniaceae. RNAcentral also lists the same sequence under 11 other names. The record is from RNAcentral.
UUUCGUCUGCACACUGAGAGGAUGAGAAUCUCCGAAGGAGGUUUGAGCCGAGCGCAGUGAGACCACGUUGCUUUAGCAACGGCCCGCAGGGCAAGCAUCGAAGAUGCGCAUAAUCCUCUCAUGCCGACCA